Molecule: long non-coding RNA, 550 nt
Organism: Olea europaea var. sylvestris
Lineage: Eukaryota; Viridiplantae; Streptophyta; Magnoliopsida; Lamiales; Oleaceae
Exons: 2
Source: RefSeq, a predicted model, not a curated record
GUCAAUGGUUAACGAUCAACUAUCGAUGGCCAAGCUCCUCCGCCCUAGCUGAACUGAAAUCCUGCAUUCGUCCCUGAUCUUAAUACAACUGUUGGGAAUAUUAGCAAUUUGUUCUUGUAUCAUCAUAUGUUUCCAUUUUAAUUUUCUUAUUUUUCAUUUUUGGAUUCAGGUGCAGCUAGAGGCAGUGGUUGGCAGAAAAUAGGAGCCUAUGUGAAUCUUGGUUUAUAUUAUCUGGUUGGAAUUCCAGUGGCUUUGCUGGUGGGAUUUGUUUACCACUUUAGAGGAAAGGGCCUUUGGAUUGGAUUGGUAGCAGGGGCAACACUGCAAUCUUUCUUGUUUUCUCUUGUAACAAUUCUCACAGAUUGGGAGAAACAGGCAAUGGAAGCAAGACAAAGGAUAUUUGAGGGAACAACUCCAGCCCAGAUUGAAUUGGUUCCAGAGAAUGAAGAGUUUGGAGGAGACAUGUUUAUUCGUGAUACAUUAAUGUGAAGAAGAAUUUCAAAAUAAUAUGGUUAAUUUAAAUAAAUAAAUAAAUAAAAGUUUGAGAAAA